This 401-nucleotide ribosomal RNA is filed under the name uncultured bacterium. RNAcentral's name for it is "bacterial SSU rRNA". It matches the Rfam family "Bacterial small subunit ribosomal RNA", at positions 29 to 429 of the family's 1533-position model. The record is from RNAcentral.
AAUGAACGCUGGCGGCGUGGAUUAGGCAUGCAAGUCGAACGCGAAAGUUCCCUUCGGGGAGCGAGUAGAGUGGCGAAAGGGUGAGUAAUGCUUGGAUGACCUGCCCUCGAGACGGGGACAACAGUUCGAAAGGACUGCUAAUACCCGAUAGUCCGGUUUAGAUGCGUCUAGAUCGGUAAAUGGUGCUUCCGCUCGAGGAGGGGUUCAAGUCCUAUCAGCUUGUUGGUGAGGUAACGGCUCACCAAGGCGAUGACGGGUAGCCGGACUGAGAGGUUGGCCGGCCACAUGGGAACUGAGACACUGUCCUGACUCCUACGGGAGGCUGCAGUGGGGAAUUUUGGACAAUGGGCGCAAGCCUGAUCCAGCCAUGCCGCGUGAGUGAAGAAGGCCUCGGUUGUAAG